UGCACCUCUACAAAUAUCUAAACUCAUAGGGGGCAACUCGAAAAUUUCCUCCAACCGAUUCUGACCCGCGAACCGGGCCGGUGGAGUUGAACCGUUUCUAGGACCAACGCCAACCCCUUGGGGGCGCCGAAAGCGGGCAACGAAUGGGGGAAGCGGAAGGCGGCCGCCGGCGGCAACGCGGCGUCGUCGACGGCGCCGCUGGGGGCGCUGUCGCCGAAGAUGGGAACGCUGCUGAAAUGCCGGUGGAAGGAUGCGGAGCCUCACUUCCGGCGAGAUCAUCGAAAGCCGGCAGACGCCUUCCGGCGAACCCCACAACUUCGAGCACUAUGUCCACUACUCCAGUGAGGCUUGAUGAAUAGAUUAAGCUUGAGCAGCUGGAUCUUAGUUCAGUGGAUACUGAUGUGUAUGGAAAGGCCACAAGAAUGAGGACACGGCACCAGAAAUGGAAGAUGGAGGAAGCAAGCGCGGAGAAACAGCCUCUCCAUUCAGCAUAGUAGGGAUGCCAAAGAGACCACUUUCUGAUCUAGGACCGCAUAGUUACCAGUCGUACUGGACUAGGGUUCUUUCAAAUGCCCUGGAAGAGCACAAAAGUGAUACUGGUAUCUCCGUCAGGGUAAGCAUCCUUUUGCACUUUCAUUCAUGUUCAUUUUUCAUUUUUAAAAGUUAGUGUUUGUCCCUUCUAUUCUAGAAUUAAACAAAAGAAAAUUUUUGUCUAUGUCAGGAUAUUCUUAUUCACAAUAUAGCAAUGAUCACUCAUGUUGGAUUUUGUUAGCAUUACUGCUACCAUUAUUUUGCAGACUAUUGAAUUUUGAAGUUAUGCAAAUGCAUUAGUCAUUCUCUGGUAUAUAUAUAUAGUUUGUUUUUGCCACAUCAAGUGCAGCAUCUUAUUCAAAAAGUCAAGAUUGCUCACAGCCAGUUAGUUAAGCAGACAUUUCCACCAUUUGGAAGGCUUAAGUUGAGAGUGGCACAUGCAUACCAUAGGCCUCUCCCUUCUCUUUCUAAUUUGUGGAAAUAAUGUUUAUCUUAAAAAUUGUAAUCAAGUAUCAAGUUUGUCUGCUGAUUUCUUAGUUAAACGUGUUAUUAUUUUUUAACUUUUGUCAUUACAUCAACCUAGAAAAGUAAAGGGGAAACUGAUGCAGA
Non-coding RNA from Phoenix dactylifera (date palm), 1140 nucleotides. The record is from RefSeq and is a predicted model, not a curated record. Lineage: Eukaryota; Viridiplantae; Streptophyta; Magnoliopsida; Arecales; Arecaceae.